This 31-nucleotide non-coding RNA is filed under the name Mus musculus (house mouse). Lineage: Eukaryota; Metazoa; Chordata; Mammalia; Rodentia; Muridae. The record is from RNAcentral.
UCGAGGAUGGACUCUUUCUGGUGCCCGCAAU